Molecule: ribosomal RNA, 774 nt
Filed under: uncultured Neocallimastigales
Lineage: Eukaryota; Fungi; Neocallimastigomycota; Neocallimastigomycetes; Neocallimastigales
Description: partial large subunit ribosomal RNA
Rfam family: Eukaryotic large subunit ribosomal RNA
Source: RNAcentral
AGAGAGAGACAUGCGCGCAUAUCAAUAAGCGGAGGAAAAGAAACUGACUAGGAUUCCCUCAGUAACGGCGAGUGAAGCGGGAAGAGCUCAAAUUUGAAAUCUUAAAGGUUCUACCUUGACGAAUUGUAGUUUAAAGAAGUGUUUUCUGUUGAAGUUUUGGUAAAAGUUCUUUGGAAUAGGACAUCAUAGAGGGUGAGAAUCCCGUAUUUGACCAUUAUUUCCAGCUUUGUGAUACACUUUCAAAGAGUCGGAUUGUUUGGGAAUGCAGUCCAAAAUGGGUGGUAAAUCUCAUCUAAAGCUAAAUAUUGGCGAGAGACCGAUAGCGAACAAGUACCGUGAGGGAAAGAUGAAAAGAACUUUGAAAAGAGAGUUAAACAGUACGUGAAAUUGUCAAAAGGGAAGCGUUUGACACCAGUGUUGUUUUCUCGAAAAUCAAUUAAAAAAGGCAGGAUUUUGUGUUGUAUUGACUUUGUCAGCUUUCUGCACUCUUUUCUUGUCUUUUUUAAUGCACUUUUCGUUUAACAAGUCAACAUCAAUUUCUUUUGUUGUAAAAGGGUCAUUGGAAGGUGGCUUUCUUUUCGGAGAAAGUGUUUAUAGCCUUUGGCCUCUGCAAUCGGAGAGAUUGAGGUCUGCAGCGUAGAUCCUUCGGGGUUAGAUACAUUUGUGCUAAGUUAUAGCCUUUCAUAGACAACUUGUUGACUAUGAUCAGUCAUGUAGCUUACUCGCUUAUGCUAUUUUACCUACGCUUAGGAUGUUGAUGUGAUACUGCGAGCA